This 529-nucleotide ribosomal RNA is filed under the name Cytobacillus firmus. Its description in RNAcentral is "bacterial SSU rRNA". It matches the Rfam family "Bacterial small subunit ribosomal RNA", at positions 950 to 1476 of the family's 1533-position model. Lineage: Bacteria; Bacillati; Bacillota; Bacilli; Caryophanales; Bacillaceae. The record is from RNAcentral.
UUCGAAGCAACGCGAAGAACCUUUACCAGGUCUUGACAUCCCCUGACAACCCUAGAGAUAGGGCGUUCCCCUUCGGGGGACAGGGUGACAGGUGGUGCAUGGUUGUCGUCAGCUCGUGUCGUGAGAUGUUGGGUUAAGUCCCGCAACGAGCGCAACCCUUGAUCUUAGUUGCCAGCAUUCAGUUGGGCACUCUAAGGUGACUGCCGGUGACAAACCGGAGGAAGGUGGGGAUGACGUCAAAUCAUCAUGCCCCUUAUGACCUGGGCUACACACGUGCUACAAUGGAUGGUACAAAGGGCUGCAAAACCGCGAGGUUAAGCGAAUCCCAUAAAACCAUUCUCAGUUCGGAUUGCAGGCUGCAACUCGCCUGCAUGAAGCCGGAAUCGCUAGUAAUCGCGGAUCAGCAUGCCGCGGUGAAUACGUUCCCGGGCCUUGUACACACCGACCGUCACACCACGAGAGUUUGUAACUCCGAAAAGUCGGUGGGGUACCUUUUGGAGCCCACCCGCCUUCAAAGUGAUUGCUCUUU